GGAACCCAGCAACUAGUGUUCAGCUCGAUUAGGGCAAACUCGGGCACUUAGCCGUGCAGGAACAAUGGAAGGACAAGGAUGCUAUUUCCUGCAAGAGAAGACAAAUCUGCAUAACAGAAGGGGCCAUAAGACAUGAGAAUGUAGUGCUGGCUUGUAUACCGUGGGUUGAAGUGAAUUGAACAAAACCAUCUGAGGGUUGUUCAGAAGAUAGACGGGAAGAUGGUUUCAGAAAAGUUUCUGUGACCAAAGUUAAUAUAGGAAAUUCCUCUGAUGUUCUUUGAGAAGCAAAAGUAAAUAAUUGGAUGUUUCUUAAAAUACAUUUGGCUGGCAAACUGUGUUUCUUCAAAAUAACAUCAUUCCGGGGUUGAGUCAUCCUUUUGGUUUUUUGGGGUAAUAUGUUAGAGGGCUACCAUCCAGGAUUUUGCAUUUCAGCUCCAGCACCCAGCCAUACUCAGUCAGGAUGAAAGUCAUCACUAAAAAUGUGAGUCAAAAGUGUAUUUUCAUCCUUACUGCCAAGCUGUUGGAACAAUGGAACUGAUGAGGAAGAGUCCAUCAAAUCAGGA
Molecule: long non-coding RNA, 563 nt
Filed under: Homo sapiens (human)
Lineage: Eukaryota; Metazoa; Chordata; Mammalia; Primates; Hominidae
Description: HSALNT0358848
Source: RNAcentral